GCCUCGGCGAGCAAGGGGCGGACGUCCGGCCCGUAGUCGCGGUGACCAAAGUUUCUACAGAGGGGAGAGUGCAACAAAACAGCUUGUUUUCCUAAAAUUCAGAGGCUGAGCUAAUCUGGACCCCACGAGAUCGCAAACUGUCUUCGGGAUAGACCAGGGUCUCGGCUUGGCGUCACCAUCUGUGAAUCCAUUUGGUCCACACACCCACUGUAUGAAUACACAUUUCCAAACCAAAGCAGCUUUGGGAAAAGAAAAAAAACAAAAAAAACAAAAAAACAACAACAACAAUAACAAACUGAUAGAAUGGGCAAACAAGGAUUCUCAGACACUGUAAACAGAAAUCAUCCAUGCACCAUUGUGAAGGAUCCACUGUCUACAUGUGGGAGUUGUCUGCUUUACCACACUGUGGCAAGGAAAUGGCCUCCUAAGCAAAGAACAAAUGACUGUGGUUCCUGAGCAAGAAGCUCCUUCCUCCUUCAAGUAUGUCCUAAAGCAUAAAUGAACGGGAACAGAAACUUUAGGCACUGUUAUAUACAUUUUUUUUAAAAGUCUUAACAAUGUAAACUGAUGCAGACAGGCCUGUGCCUUGGUGACUGUCUACCUGAGAUAAAGGCAGCAGGCAGCAGGAGGCUGAUGGAGGAUUAGGUGUGUAUGUGUGCAGACCUAUAGAACCCACUGAGGAAGCAGCUGGGUCCCGGUGUCUCCCCAGUCCUGUGUGCUGGCUCAGGCGGCUGACUUCUCUCUCAUCCCUCUUUUGGUUACUAUCUGUUCUCCACUUGUGGUCCUUGGAGGCAGA
RNAcentral lists this long non-coding RNA (796 nucleotides) under Rattus norvegicus (Norway rat). RNAcentral describes it as "long non-coding RNA NONRATT015127". The record is from RNAcentral. Lineage: Eukaryota; Metazoa; Chordata; Mammalia; Rodentia; Muridae.